GUGCCAGCAGCCGCGGUAAUACGUAGGUGGCGAGCGUUAUCCGGAAUUAUUGGGCGUAAAGCGCGCGCAGGCGGUUUCUUAAGUCUGAUGUGAAAGCCCACGGCUCAACCGUGGAGGGUCAUUGGAAACUGGGAAACUUGAGUGCAGAAGAGGAAAGCGGAAUUCCACGUGUAGCGGUGAAAUGCGUAGAGAUGUGGAGGAACACCAGUGGCGAAGGCGGCUUUCUGGUCUGUAACUGACGCUGAGGCGCGAAAGCGUGGGGAGCAAACAGGAUUAGAUACCCUGGUAGUCC
Molecule: ribosomal RNA, 292 nt
Filed under: uncultured microorganism
Description: partial 16S ribosomal RNA
Rfam family: Bacterial small subunit ribosomal RNA
Source: RNAcentral